CCGUAGAUGCGGCUCCGCCAACCUGACGCCAUCCUCUCGGACGCUAGGCCUCUCCGUCGGCCGGCUUCGGUUGCGACGCUACAGAAUGGCGACGAGGACUCUGUAGAAGAACCUGCCGUGCCUCAACUGUCGCGAAAUCCGACGAGGGUACGGAGAUCAGACCACCGAUGAACACUUCGGUUAUGAGAACGGGGACAAGCAAGAGACGCUGCUUCGAUCACUUCGACGGGUACUGAGGGCGUCAAGGCCCGACAGCGCAACGUACACAUGGUGGCCUUCCUCGACGUUGCCAGGUUCAAAACUUCAAGGCAACGGCAACGGACACUAUCCAUUCGCAGUGGAAAUCAGUCGCGUGCUUCUAGGUCACGACCUCAAGGCGAACGCAGUCAUUGGACUCUGCCCGCUGUCACCAGUGAUUAUUGCAGUGACUGAGAUGCACAAAGCACAACACCGGCUGUGGCGAUCGGUUGCGUGCGUGCAGCACGAUUGUAUGUUCCCCUGUUGGCCCCCCCCUUUCUCCUAAUACCUUAAGUCAUCGCCACUCGUUCUCAGGGUUUAUGCACUGUUCUGUAUUGGACGCCCAAACGGCAUCUUUCCUGCAUCUUCUACAAAUGGCUUUUUCUCGGCGGUGGGCAAUGUGUUUUUCAAACCGUAUCGAGGCAAAGUACACGAAUGACGACAAUGUUGCGGCGUAGCCAUGCAUGCCGAUUGGAGCGCCCUCUGUCCAUCCGUUGUGGCCGGGAGCGGCGUGCUCUGAAGAUGUGCCACUGUCUGCUUACAGUGCACCGGCAGAGGAGCACCUUCAGGAUUCGCCAGGGUAAUUGGUCACGUACAGUGCCGCUAUGUCCUCGUCAGUCAUUGUUGCAUUCUUCAGAACCUUCCUCCUGCCACCAGAAGACUGUACACCAAAUGAAGCAGUCAUAUUCUUUGAGCUGUGGCAGUUGUUCCAUGCAUUGGCUGCGGACUCAUCGCUACUUCUCGGCUGUCACCAUCGGAAGCAUCGGCCAAGCAGGAUGGUGCGGCGAAGAAGUAACACUAGUGACGUGUCAAGAUUGGAAACGCGCCUAUGAGCUCAUCAACAUUUUAGAGGACACCAACCAGGAGGGUCCGCACAGGCUCUUCACCAUGAAAUAGAGGAGAACCAGCCCACUUCCUGUCAUUGCUGGACUUGCGGCGGCUGCUGAGCGCAGGCUGCAUCUGGGCUACGAUUGCUAUAUACUAGAGCUAGAAUGAUGCUGUGACUAGGCUUCACCCCCGGCCUAUGUCGUCAUACCUGAGCGUCCGGGCUUCUCCGGCAUACAUCGACCUCGCCUCGGCGACGGGAAGUCACUGGGCGGUUUUGGAUGUUGACUUUGAUGAACAAGCGGGUGCUGCACCGCUGUGCUGACACCUUCAACAAAGCAUCGGUGAGCUUAACGAUUCGGUGAAGCAUUCGGUGGAGGAGGUCCAGAAGGCCAUCGUCAGCUUGGACCGCACGCCGGACGAAGUAUUGCGGGGCCUGGAAAUCAACAAGGCUGUCGUAACGGUCAUUGCUGGCGUCACCACGAUCAUAGGGGCACUCUACCUGCUAGGAAUUCGCUGUGCGGUUUUGGAUGUCCCAGUUUGAACAUGGUAUUCCAUUCAGGAAAUUCAAGGACUCCUGCGUCGGGGGAAGCAGGAAUACUCCCUGAGCAGUGGCAGUUAUUCACAUGUAUUGGCUGCGGACUUGUCACUACUUCCCUGCUGUCACCAUCGGAAUACGCUGUGCCGUUUGGGAUGUCGGUGUUCUGGCAUGGUAUUCUACAUAGCGAACAUGAUCAAUACCAUCCUGCAACCAUUAGGAUCGUUUUUUACUCAGCGGUUCCCAGAUUGCGUUCAAUAUAGAAAGACUGCACAGCAGUGGAGGACCACUUUCAGAAUUCACUGCGAGAAUCGUUCUCGUGCGGUGCCGUUACAUCCUCGCCAGCGAUGGUUCCAUUCUUCAGAGCCUCCCUCCUGCAAGCGGAAGGAAGGACUGGCCAUGCAGGACGUUUUAGAGGACACCACCCAGGAGGAUCCGCACAGGCUCUUCACCAUGAAACAGAGGCACAAAGGCCAUAGACUGCCUGACGUGUGGACUCGUUUUUUCUGGCAUGGACUGGCACUCGAUACAUGGUGACUGGGGACAAAGCGACAGCGAGAGAGCACUCAAUGAUCUAGAAAGCGGGAUGAUUCUACAUUGGCAGAAGCAGGCCUACUCCCUGAGCAGUGGCAGUUAUUCACAUGCAUUGGUUGCGCUCUGAUUGCUACCUCCCUGCUGUCACCAUCGGAAGCAACGGCCAAGCAAGAUGCUGCAGCGAAGCAUUCACACUAGUGACGCGGCAAGAGGCUCUGGACAAUCCAUUGAGUUCAGCAACACUUUAGAGGAACCCGAGAAAAAGGAUCCGCACAGGCUCUUCAGCAUGAAAUAGAGGAAGCCACUGUGCGGCUUUGGAUGUCUACGAGACAGCGUUUCUCGGUAACACCGACGUUGCCGUCCUUUAUGGAUUGUAUACAUCGGUGGAAGCGGGCCAGUCAGUCGCGUGCUGCGAAAGUGCGCAGUCAUUUGCACGUCAGCGAGGAUUGCAAUCAUCGCCCCAUCAUUGAUGACACUAUUGCAGCGGAGGACCACUUCCAAAAUUCUGUGAGAAUCGUUCACGUGCGGUGCCGUUACGUCCUCGUCAGCGAUGGUUCCAUUCUUCAGAGCCUCCCUCCUGCCAGCAGAAGGUACUGUCUGCCAAAAGUCAAGCAGGGAAAUUUUCAGAAAGUUUAUUGCCACCAGCAAUUUUAAGGCUUCUUGUAAACCUGGCAAGGAGAUUGCUGAGCCUUCUACAACCACGGCUUUGCGUGUUAUCGGACGACUAUCGGCAAGUUGGUAUCCUGCAUGACUCCUGCGUUGGCGGAAGCGGGCAUACUUCCUCUGCAGUGGCAGUUAUUCAUGUGCAUUGGCUGUGCUCUGAUCGCAACUUCCCUUACCGUGUACUCUCUGCCAAGAGUCAAGCAGGGAAAUGCUUCUUGUAAACCUGGCAAGGAGAUUGCUGAGCCUUCUACAACCACGGCUUUCGCUGUCAUAGGACGACUAUCGGCAAGUUGGCCUCCCGCAUGGAAGCACUGGCCGUGCAGGACGUUUUAGAGGAUACCAACCAGGAGGGUCCGCACAGGCUCUUCACCAUGAAACAGAGGCACAAAGGCACUGCCUGACGUGCGGACUCGUUUUUUCUGGCAUGGACUGGCACUCGAUACAUGGCGACCGGGAGCAAAGGGACAGCGAGAGAGCACUCAAUGAUCUAGAAAGCAGGAAGGCACGAAAGCCAUAGACUGCCUGAUGUGUGGACUCGUUUUUUCUGGCAUGAACUGGCGCUCGAUACAUGGCGACCGGGAGCAAAGCGACAGCGAGAGAGCGCUCAAUGAUCUAGCAAGCGGGAAGGCACAAAGGCUAUAGUCGACCGCCUGACAUGUGAACUCGUCUUCGAACAAGAGGACAGAGAAAGAGCAAUAGACGACCUGGAGAGUGGGAAAGAAGUCACUGUGCGGCCUUGGAUGUCCGACGGUAUUUUAUUCCGGGGACUUCGGUGACAGCGUUUCUCGGUAACACCGACGUUGCCGUCCUUGUACGGAUUGUAUACGUCGGUGGAAGCUGGCCAAUCAGUCGCGUGCUGCAAAAGUGUGCAGUCAUUUGCACGUGAGCGAGGAUUGCAGUCGUCGCUGCAUCACUGGAAACAACAAUGCAGACGAUGUGGCCCUUACCAGAGCUUUUCUAUGACCCUUGCUUCAAGGCGCAACACCAGUGCUUUUACAGGAAGGCACAAAGGCUAUAGUCGACCACCUGACGUGUGAACUCGUCUUGGAACAAGAGGACAGAAAAAGAGCGCUAGACGACCUAGACAGCGAGCUAGUGGGAAGGAUGUCACUGUGCAGCUUUGGAUGUCCGGCGGUAUUUUAUUCUGGGGACUUCGGCGGUGACAAGCUCGCAGUGUGUUCCGUCGGAAAAGCACGGAUGUGAACAUCUUUUUCGGAAGUACCAGUAUUACAAUACCGUCACUCUUGGCCGGCGGUCCAGUCGGAGUGGAGGGACCAAGCUGAAAAGCUUGGUCGUUUCGUCGCAUAAAAAUGGCGUGUUCAUUUGAAAAUACCUUAAAAUGUUGUGACCUCUGCAUAAAAUUCUAGCCGUUGCUCAAGAAUGUCUAGGUUUCAUUUAAUUUUCCUUAUGCAUUUGUACAACAAUAAUCUUCUCGCUAAAUAAAUAAAAAUUGAUUCACUCCGUCGGCAUAAUCCUAUUCGUGCUCAGCCUCCAUUGAAUUAGCCGGGCAGUUACACAGAAAAAAACUGGCACCCGGCACUGUUGGUACUUCUCAUUUCGUACGUAAAGGAAACACCUCUAAACUGGAGAGAACUUUUUUAUAAGCUGCAGGUUUUUGUUGAUGUCUUUCUUUUAAGAAUGAGACCCCCAUCUCGAUAAUUUACUUCAAGAAAAACAGCAUGAAAUUCCAUGCUUCUCAACUUUGCACUGAGUCAUUUGCAGUCUCAGUUAUCUUUUGGUGGCUUUUGAACAACAACAAGCAGUGCUCUGUGACAUCCAAACCUUCUUUUGGCCUUCUUUUUGGUUUUUAUGCGUUCCAUGAUGUUCAUUUUUGGCGAUAUGACAAAAUCGCCAAUAAGUACAAUGUUUAUAAAAAUAAUCUGCUGUGCUCAUUGUUUCGAUGUUCCUUGAACAGACAUGCUUUAAGCUGAACCGAGGCAACCAGCACCCGAUUUCUCAGUACUGCUCAUGCUGUGAAACUGCUGCAUUCUUUCUUAUAAGCAUUGAAAGCACCAAGCAUUACAGCUUGGUGCUACACUUGCGUGGAUGACAAUGUUUCCCUUUUUUUCGCUGAAUUCUGUGCACAGACAGCGUUUCUCGGUAACACCGACAUUGCUGUCCUUGUACGGAUUGUAUACGUUGGUGGAAGUGGUCCAGUCAGUCGCAUGCUGCGAAGGUGCGCAGUCAUCUGCUUGUCAGCGAGGGUUGCAGUCGUCUCCGCAUUAUUGGCGACAACCAACGCCACUACACCAGUGGAAGCAGGCAUACUCCCAGAGCAGUGGCAGUUAUUCACCUGCAUCGGUUGUGCACUCAUUGCUGUUUCCCUGUCGUCACCAUCGAAAGCACUGGGCGAGCGGGAUGCUGCGGCGAAGCAGUCGCACUAGUCACGCGUCAAAACUGGAAAUGCGCCCUUGAGCUCAUCGACAUUUUAGAGGACAUCAACCAGGAGGGUCCACACAGGCUCUUACCAUGAAAUAGAGGCUGAUACCAACGUUCUUGAGGAGUGUGCGCUGUUCUGAAUUUGAUGAAGAGAUGGUAUCUUCCCUGCAUCCAGAUGUGAUGGUUUUUGCUCAGCGGUGUGCGGCCUGCGUUCAGUUUGCAAAGGCAACCGAGAUACAGCGUCUUCGGCGUACAGUUAGGCAAGCACAUAGACGGAUUAAAGGAUUGCCGCAAGAACUGUGAUAUUCUUCAUCGUAGGUAAAUUCCCCGUUGAGCUGAUGACCCCGGUGACUCAUCAGGAUUGGAAUCGACGCCGCUGAGCUCAUCAAUAUUUUGCAAGCCAACCAGAAGGGGACGCCUGUAAAAUCUGUAAAUGAAAUAAAAGUAGCGCCAUCUCCUUCUCCUU
Molecule: non-coding RNA, 5642 nt
Organism: Dermacentor andersoni
Lineage: Eukaryota; Metazoa; Arthropoda; Arachnida; Ixodida; Ixodidae
Source: RefSeq, a predicted model, not a curated record